This 430-nucleotide ribosomal RNA is filed under the name bacterium. RNAcentral's name for it is "partial 16S ribosomal RNA". It matches the Rfam family "Bacterial small subunit ribosomal RNA", at positions 355 to 776 of the family's 1533-position model. The record is from RNAcentral.
UGGGGAAUAUUGGACAAUGGGCGGAAGCCUGAUCCAGCCAUGCCGCGUGUGUGAAGAAGGCCUUUUGGUUGUAAAGCACUUUAAGCGAGGAGGAGGCUACUUGGAUUAAUACUCUAGGAUAGUGGACGUUACUCGCAGAAUAAGCACCGGCUAACUCUGUGCCAGCAGCCGCGGUAAUACAGAGGGUGCGAGCGUUAAUCGGAUUUACUGGGCGUAAAGCGUGCGUAGGCGGCUUCUUAAGUCGGAUGUGAAAUCCCUGAGCUUAACUUAGGAAUUGCUUUCGAUACUGGGAAGCUAGAGUAUGGGAGAGGAUGGUAGAAUUCCAGGUGUAGCGGUGAAAUGCGUAGAGAUCUGGAGGAAUACCGAUGGCGAAGGCAGCCAUCUGGCCUAAUACUGACGCUGAGGUACGAAAGCAUGGGGAGCAAACAGG